This 872-nucleotide ribosomal RNA is filed under the name uncultured archaeon. Its description in RNAcentral is "bacterial SSU rRNA". It matches the Rfam family "Archaeal small subunit ribosomal RNA", at positions 1 to 880 of the family's 1478-position model. The record is from RNAcentral.
CUCCCGGUUGAUCCUGCCGGACCUGACUGCUAUCGGAUUGGUACUAAGCCAUGCGAGUCGUUGUAGCAAUACAAGGCGGACGGCUCAGUAACACGUAGUCAACCUAACCUAUGGACGUGGAUAACCUCGGGAAACUGAGAAUAAACCGCGAUAGAUCAUUAUGCCUGGAAUGGCUUAUGGUUCAAACAAUUUAUUGCCGUAGGAUGGGACUGCGGCCUAUCAGCUUGUUGGUGAGGUAAUGGCCCACCAAGGCUAUAACAGGUACGGGCUCUGAGAGGAGAAGCCCGGAGAUGGGUACUGAGACACGGACCCAGGCCCUAUGGGGCGCAGCAGGCGAGAAACCUUAGCAAUGUGCGAAAGCACGACUAGGUUAAUCCGAGUGAUUUCUGUUGAAGAAAUCUUUUGUCAGUCGUAAAACCACAGACGAAUAAGGGGUGGGCAAGUCUGGUGUCAGCCGCCGCGGUAAUACCAGCACCUCGAGUGGUCAGGAGGUUUAUUGGGCCUAAAGCAUCCGUAGCCGGCUACGCAAGUCUCCGGUUAAAUCCAGCUGCUCAACAGAUGGGCUGCCGGAGAUACUACAUAGCUAGGGAGCGGGAGAGGUAGACGGUAUUCUGUGGGUAGGGGUAAAAUCCACUGAUCCAUAGAGGACCACCAGUGGCGAAGGCGGUCUACCAGAACGCGUUCGACGGUGAGGGAUGAAAGCUGGGGGAGCAAACCGGAUUAGAUACCCGGGUAGUCCCAGCUGUAAACGAUGCAAACUCGGUGAUGCAUUGGCUUAUGGCCAAUGCAGUGCCGCAGGGAAGCCGUUAAGUUUGCCGCCUGGGAAGUACGGACGCAAGUCUGAAACUUAAAGGAAUUGGCGGGGGGGCACA